CCUACGGGAGGCAGCAGUGAGGAAUAUUGGUCAAUGGGCGGGAGCCUGAACCAGCCAAGUAGCGUGAAGGAUGACAGCCCUAGGGGUGUUAAACUUCUUUUAUAAGGGAAUAAAGUGUCCCACGUGUGGGGUUGUGUAUGUACCUUAUGAAUAAGAAUAGGCUAAUUCCGUGCCAGGAGCCGCGGUAAUACGGAAGAGGCGAGUGUUAUCCGGUUUGAUUGGGUUAAAGGGGAGCGGAGGCGGUGCCAUAAGUCAGCGGUAAAAUCGUGCGGCUCAACCGUACCUUGCCGUUGAAACUGUGUGACUUGAGUAUGCUCAGGGUACAUGGAAUUCGUGGUGUAGCGGUGAAAUGCUUAGAUAUCACGAAGAACACCGAUCGCGAAGGCAUUGUCCCGGAGCAAGACUGACGCUGAUGCUCGAAAGUGCGGGUAUCAAACAGGAUUAGAUACCCGAGUAGUC
Molecule: ribosomal RNA, 459 nt
Filed under: uncultured bacterium
Lineage: Bacteria
Description: partial 16S ribosomal RNA
Rfam family: Bacterial small subunit ribosomal RNA
Source: RNAcentral